RNAcentral lists this ribosomal RNA (503 nucleotides) under uncultured bacterium. Its description in RNAcentral is "partial 16S ribosomal RNA". It matches the Rfam family "Bacterial small subunit ribosomal RNA", at positions 30 to 523 of the family's 1533-position model. The record is from RNAcentral.
AUUGAACGCUGGCGGCAGGCUUAACACAUGCAAGUCGAGCGGGGUGAUGGCGCUUGCACUAUCACUUAGCGGCGGACGGGUGAGUAAUGCUUAGGAAUCUGCCUAUUAGUGGGGGACAACAUCUCGAAAGGGAUGCUAAUACCGCAUACGUCCUACGGGAGAAAGCAGGGGAUCACUUGUGACCUUGCGCUAAUAGAUGAGCCUAAGUCGGAUUAGCUAGUUGGUGGGGUAAAGGCCUACCAAGGCGACGAUCUGUAGCGGGUCUGAGGGGAUUAUGCGCCACACUGGGACGGAGACACGGCCCAGGCUCCUACGGGAGGGAGCAAGUGGGACUAUUGGACAAUGGGGGGAACCCGGAUCCAGCCAUGCCGCGUGUGUGAAGAAGGCCUUAUGGUUGUAAAGCACUUUAAGCUAGGAGGAGGCUCUUUUGGUUAAUACCCAAGAUGAGUGGACGUUACUCGCAGAAUAAGCACCGGCUAACUCUGUGCCAGCCGCCGCCGUAA